UGAAGAUCAAUGAUGAAUCCAUAGAUAUACUUUCUGAAUCAUUUGGUAAAAAAUAACUUAUCAAUCUGCUCCAAGAUACAACAGACACUUACCUGGAUGUUGCAAAUCAAAUACGCAGGAUCGUUGUUGAGGACUCUGUGCACUAGAAGAUUUUCGUGCACGACCUUGGCUAGAUUUAUAUAAAAAACAAAUUAUAGUUUAACCCUUUUUUAUCUAUUUUUAAAAGUUAAGAGGCUUAUUCAUCCCCAAAAUAGUAAAAGGACUUAUUUGAUCUAUUUUUAAAAUUUGAAAAACUUAAUUGAUCUUUUUUAAAAUUUACAGGGCUUGUUUGAACCCCAAAAAUCUUUAAGGACUUAUAUGACUAUUAACUCAUACUUUAAGGGCCAAAAUAGGCAUUUUGCCAAGAAAAAAUAGUUCAAUCUCUUAUGUUUACUGUGAAUCUUCCUACACCUUAUUGGUAGGAUGCAGUUCUUGCUGCAAUAUAUCUUAUCAAUAGAAUGCUUCUGAGAACAUAGAACUUUAAGAGCCCUUUGGAGGUUUUACAAGAUCAUAACUCUUAUACCAUUCCUUCAAAGACAUUUAGACGUGUUUGUUUUGUCCACAAAA
This 606-nucleotide unclassified non-coding RNA is filed under the name Hevea brasiliensis (rubber tree). Lineage: Eukaryota; Viridiplantae; Streptophyta; Magnoliopsida; Malpighiales; Euphorbiaceae. The record is from RNAcentral.